AGUAUAUAUUCAGUAUGUAACCCUAACUGCUAUUGGAAUCAGAGAGAGGCAAACUUUCCACUGGAUCUUAUCUCUGUUAAGCUGGUAACUGUUAUCCGGUCCAGCCUCGCUUACUUAGUGAGGACUGGGCAACCCUGCUACCCUUCUUAUGUGCUGCUUUGUUAUGCCUGCCGUCCUCUCCUGAGCUCUCGCAGUUGGCACACAGCCCUCCGAGCCCCUCACUCACGCAGUAUCCAUACAGGACAGCCUCCACAUUCCCGCUGGGUGGUGCUGUUGGCUCUACAACGGUGUGAGCCGCGGCUGCAAAGGGACGGCGGCGGUCCCCGGGCUGGAGCUUCUCGCCUCGCUCCUUUCUGCUGCGAAACACCACGACCUCAACUAACGCGGCGUGUUUCGGACGGAGGUUCUCGCAGCGCAGAGCGGCGAUCGCUCUCCCUCUCGUUUGCUGGUACCGUUACGCGAGGUGCUUUCACAGCGGUGGUUUUGCGUGCUGUACCGCAUUCUGUUGUGCCCGGAGCUGCCUGUCGCGACUCCCACUGCGGUAACCGCUGCUGGCACGGUGUGAGCCCCCCUUGCGUGGCUGCAGCACUCGGGCGCCCAUCCCGCUGCACGCACGUGUUCGCUCCUUACAGCUACAGGCACGAACGGCCCCGCACCGCGCUGUCCCGCAGCGCUACCUGCCCCGCAUCGCCCCGACCCCUCCGGGCGGCCCGUGGGCGCAGCCCCUUCUUGCUUUUAUUGGUCGCCGGGGCACCCGCGGGCGGCUUCGGCGGUGCUGAGUGGCGCGGCCCCCCGUCCGUCAGCGCCGCCCAUCGCAGCACGCCCGAGCUCCUGUCACAACAGAGCGGGGCUGCGGCUGCACUUCCUGCGCUCCCGGCUUCGCAACGCCGAGCCGAGCAUCUCCCCCGGCCGCCCCGGGCAUGGCCGCUCCGCGGAGAACCGGCUUCAGCCCCGCCGCACGCUGAGCGGAGCGCCGCGGGACGCGGUUCCGCCCUCCCCUCCCGCGUCCCCCGCAGAAGU
RNAcentral lists this long non-coding RNA (1020 nucleotides) under Coturnix japonica (Japanese quail). RNAcentral describes it as "lncRNA (ENSCJPG00005014152.1)". Lineage: Eukaryota; Metazoa; Chordata; Aves; Galliformes; Phasianidae. The record is from RNAcentral.